This 253-nucleotide ribosomal RNA is filed under the name uncultured bacterium. RNAcentral describes it as "partial 16S ribosomal RNA". It matches the Rfam family "Bacterial small subunit ribosomal RNA", at positions 524 to 776 of the family's 1533-position model. The record is from RNAcentral.
UACGUAGGUGGCAAGCGUUGUCCGGAAUUAUUGGGCGUAAAGCGCGCGCAGGCGGUCUUUUAAGUCUGAUGUGAAAGCCCACGGCUCAACCGUGGAGGGUCAUUGGAAACUGGGAGACUUGAGUGUAGGAGAGGAAAGCGGAAUUCCACGUGUAGCGGUGAAAUGCGUAGAGAUGUGGAGGAACACCAGUGGCGAAGGCGGCUUUCUGGCCUAUAACUGACGCUGAGGCGCGAAAGCGUGGGGAGCAAACAGG